UUCCGGUUGAUCCCGCCGGAGAUCACCGCUAUUAGAGUUCCACUAACCCAUGCGAGUUCCUGGGUAAAACCAGAGCGAACGGCUGAGUAACACGUAGUUAACAUCACUUUAGGUGGCGAAUAACCUUGGGAAACUGAGAUGAAUACGCCAUAGUCAAUUAUGCCUGGAACGGUUUAUUGACCAAAGCUUCGGCGCCUAAAGAUUGGACUGCGGUGGAUUAGGUAGAUGUUAGGGUAAUGACCUGACAUGCCAAUAAUCCAUAGGGGCCAUGAAAGUGGUAGCCUCCAGAUGGAUUCUGAGACACGAAUCCAGGCCCUAUGGGGCGCAGCAGGGGGGAAAACUCCGCAAUGCACGAAAGUGUGACGGGGGAACUCUAAGUGCCAGCACGCUGUGUUGGCUUUUCAUUAGUCCAAAUCGCUAGUGGAAUAAGUGGGGGGUAAGACCGUUGCCAGCCUUUUUAAGAAUUGGCAAUGCCCAAGUCUUAGAACUGGAUGCCGCGGUAAUAACGGCUCCACAAGUGGUGAUCACGUAUAUUGGGUCUAAAGCAUUCGUAGCCGGUUUGUUAAGUCUUCUGUGAAAUCUGAUAGAAAACUAUCAGGCGUGCAGGAGAUACUGGCAAGCUUGGAACCGGGAGGAGCCUGGAGUACUUUUAGGGUAGGGGUAAAAUCCUGUAAUCCUAAAGGGACUACCUGUGGCGAAGGCGCCAGGCUAGAACGGAUUCGACGGUGAGGAAUGAAAGCGAGGGGAGCAAAGGGGAUUAGAUACCCCCGUAGUCCUCGCUGUAAACGAUGCCCGCUUGGUAUUGGAAGUUGCUAGACUUCUUCCAGUGCCGUAGGGAAGCCAUUGAGCGGGCCACCUGGGAAGUACAGUCGCAAGGCUGAAACUUAAAGGAAUUGGCGGGGGAGCACACAAGGGGUGCGGUCUGCGGUUCAAUUGGACUCAACGCCGGGAACCUCACCAGGGGUGACAGCAGUAUGAUGGUCAGUCUGAAGGGCUUACCUGACGCGCUGAGAGGUAUUGCAUGGCCGUCGUCAGCUCGUGCCGCGAGAGCUUUUACUAAGGUCUUUCUUAAGAAAGGCUCCGGUAAAGGUGUCCUGUUAACAGGUCGUGGUGCAGCAAAAAUGACAUCACCAUGGAAGCUUUUCAUCCACCCUAUAGUGUAUAACAAGAAAUAAAAUAUAUGCAAGUAUGCAAAAGAGUAAGCGCGUAUACCUAAUAAGGGUUCGGAUAAAUUAUCAAAAGCUUUUAAUCUGACAGAUAGUCAGGUAACGAGCGAGACCCACGCCGUAUGUUGCCAGCUGUUUCUUCGGAAGCGGCGCACUCAUGCGGGACUGCCCGUGCUAAAUGGGAGGAAGGAGUGGUCAACGGUAGGUCAGUAUGGUCCGAAUCCCCUGGGCUACACGCGGGCGCCAAUGGCAAGGACAAUAGGAUGCAACUCCGAAAGGAGGAGCUAAUCCCUGAACCCUUGUCUCAGUACAGAUUGUGGGUUGCAACUCACCCACAUGACGCCGGAAUCCCUAGUAGGCGAAUGUUAGCAUCUUUCGUCGAAUACGUCCCCGCUCCUUGCACACACCGCCCGUC
Molecule: ribosomal RNA, 1581 nt
Filed under: uncultured archaeon
Lineage: Archaea
Description: 16S ribosomal RNA
Rfam family: Archaeal small subunit ribosomal RNA
Source: RNAcentral